Molecule: ribosomal RNA, 510 nt
Filed under: uncultured bacterium
Lineage: Bacteria
Description: bacterial SSU rRNA
Rfam family: Bacterial small subunit ribosomal RNA
Source: RNAcentral
CGUGCAGGAUGAAGGCCUUCGGGUUGUAAACUGCUUUUGUACGGAACGAAAAGCCUCUCUUUAAUAAAUGGGGGUGAUGACGGUACCGUAAGAAUAAGCACCGGCUAACUACGUGCCAGCAGCCGCGGUAAUACGUAGGGUGCGAGCGUUAAUCGGAAUUACUGGGCGUAAAGCGUGCGCAGGCGGUCUUGCAAGACAGUGGUGAAAUCCCCGGGCUCAACCUGGGAACUGCCAUUGUGACUGCAAGGCUGGAGUGCGGCAGAGGGGGAUGGAAUUCCGCGUGUAGCAGUGAAAUGCGUAGAUAUGCGGAGGAACACCGAUGGCGAAGGCAAUCCCCUGGGCCUGCACUGACGCUCAUGCACGAAAGCGUGGGGAGCAAACAGGAUUAGAUACCCUGGUAGUCCACGCCCUAAACGAUGUCAACUGGUUGUUGGGGAUUAACUUUCUCAGUAACGAAGCUAACGCGUGAAGUUGACCGCCUGGGGAGUACGGCCGCAAGGUUAAAACUCA